RNAcentral lists this long non-coding RNA (352 nucleotides) under Nicotiana benthamiana. Its description in RNAcentral is "long non-coding RNA (NBEN_LNC038167)". The record is from RNAcentral. Lineage: Eukaryota; Viridiplantae; Streptophyta; Magnoliopsida; Solanales; Solanaceae.
CUGAAACUGAAGCAUCUCUAUGGUUACAACAGUCUUUCAACCAAUCUGGCUCCACCACCACUUCAACAACCUCCUUCCUUUUACUCCUCACAAAACCUACCGAUAUUAUCAUCACCGAUUCAUCUUCCCCAUCCCUCACAAAACGGUAAUUUUGUAAUUGUAUUGGAUUAUCUGUAAUUGAAUUCACUCCUCACAAAACCUACCGAUAUUAUCGUCACCGAUUCAUCUUCCCCAUCCCUCACAAAACGGUAAUUUUAGAAUUGUAUUGGAUCAUCUGUAAUUGAUUUUUCUUUUGGAGCUUAAAAUUGAAGUUUAACUUAAUAUGAAUUGAACAAAGAUAAAUUGGUGUUUG